CCAUGCAGGUCCACGAUACCCGUAAUUGUCACUCUGGUUCUUACUGAUCGUCGAAGACAUCUUUCAAGUAGACAUCCGAUCAGAAGCAUACUAGAAGUCACUUAUCCCUUCCCAUUCUCAUUCACUUUCCUUUUCAUUUAGACUUGUACUUGGACUCAUUCACUAGACGCCACCCGUUAUCGGUGUCACACACAAUACACAUUGCACUCAAGUUCUACUUCAAUAACAU
This 229-nucleotide long non-coding RNA is filed under the name Brassica napus (rape). RNAcentral describes it as "long non-coding RNA (BNAP_LNC024180)". The record is from RNAcentral. Lineage: Eukaryota; Viridiplantae; Streptophyta; Magnoliopsida; Brassicales; Brassicaceae.